RNAcentral lists this ribosomal RNA (488 nucleotides) under uncultured bacterium. Its description in RNAcentral is "bacterial SSU rRNA". It matches the Rfam family "Bacterial small subunit ribosomal RNA", at positions 30 to 505 of the family's 1533-position model. The record is from RNAcentral.
AUUGAACGCUGGCGGCAUGCCUUACACAUGCAAGUCGAACGGCAGCAUGGAAGAGCUUGCUCUUCUGAUGGCGAGUGGCGAACGGGUGAGUAAAGCAUCGGAACGUACCGUGUAAUGGGGGAUAACGUAGCGAAAGUUACGCUAAUACCGCAUACGACCUGAGGGUGAAAGCAGGGGAUCGCAAGACCUUGCGUUAUACGAGCGGCCGAUGUCAGAUUAGCUAGUUGGUGAGGUAAAGGCUCACCAAGCCAACGAUCUGUAGCUGGUCUGAGAGGACGACCAGCCACACUGGAACUGAGACACGGUCCAGACUCCUACGGGAGGCAGCAGUGGGGAAUUUUGGACAAUGGACGCAAGUCUGAUCCAGCCAUUCCGCGUGCAGGAUGAAGGCCCUCGGGUUGUAAACUGCUUUUGUACGGAACGAAAAGGUUUCUAUUAAUACUAGGAGCUCAUGACGGUACCGUAAGAAUAAGCACCGGCUAACUACG